Molecule: ribosomal RNA, 483 nt
Filed under: uncultured bacterium
Lineage: Bacteria
Description: bacterial SSU rRNA
Rfam family: Bacterial small subunit ribosomal RNA
Source: RNAcentral
CUACGUGCCAGCAGCCGCGGUAAUACGGAAGGUCCGGGCGUUAUCCGGAAUUAUUGGGUUUAAAGGGAGCGCAGGCGGGAGUGUAAGUCAGCUGUUAAAUAUCAGGGCCCAACUCUGUUAUGCAGUUGAAACUAUAUUUCUUGAGUACGCACAGGGAUGGCGGAAUUCAGGGUGUAGCGGUGAAAUGCUUAGAUAUCCUGAAGAACUCCGAUCGCGAAGGCAGCCAUCCGGAGCGUAACUGACGCUGAGGCUCGAAGGUGCGGGUAUCAAACAGGAUUAGAUACCCUGGUAGUCCGCACGGUAAACGAUGAAUACUCGCAGUUCGGUUAUUAUGGUCGAGCUGUCCAGCGAAAGCGUUAAGUAUUCCACCUGGGGAGUACGCCGGCAACGGUGAAACUCAAAGGAAUUGACGGGGGCCCGCACAAGCGGAGGAACAUGUGGUUUAAUUCGAUGAUACGCGAGGAACCUUACCCGGGCUUGAAC